CCUACGGGUAGCAGCAGUGGGGAAUAUUGCACAAUGGGGGAAACCCUGAUGCAGCGACGCCGCGUGAGUGAAGAAGUAUCACGGUAUGGAAAGCUCGAUCAGCAGGGAAGAAAAUGACGGUACCUGACUAAGAAUCCCCGGCGAACUACGUGCCAGCAGCCACGGUAAUACGUAGGGGGCAAGCGUUAUCCGACUUUACUGGGUGUAAAGGGAGAGUAGACGGCGCUGCAAGUCCGGAGUGAAAGCCCAUGGCUGAACCGUUGUACUGCUCUGGAAACUGUGGAGCUUGAGUGCGGGAGGGGCAGGCGGAAUUCCUAGUGUAGCGGUGAAAUGCGUAGAUAUUAGGAGGAACACCGGCGGCGAAGGCGGCCUGCUGGACCGUAACUGACGUUGAGGCUCGAAAGCGUGGGGAGCAAACAGGAUUAGAUACCCUUGUAGUC
RNAcentral lists this ribosomal RNA (440 nucleotides) under uncultured bacterium. RNAcentral describes it as "partial 16S ribosomal RNA". It matches the Rfam family "Bacterial small subunit ribosomal RNA", at positions 338 to 795 of the family's 1533-position model. The record is from RNAcentral.